Molecule: transfer RNA, 54 nt
Filed under: Cautires sp. UPOL A00057
Lineage: Eukaryota; Metazoa; Arthropoda; Insecta; Coleoptera; Lycidae
Description: partial tRNA-Ser
Source: RNAcentral
AAAGAAAUAUCUUUUAAAAAGCUUCUAACUUUUUUCUCAGCAAUAAUAUGUUAU